Molecule: ribosomal RNA, 506 nt
Filed under: uncultured bacterium
Lineage: Bacteria
Description: bacterial SSU rRNA
Rfam family: Bacterial small subunit ribosomal RNA
Source: RNAcentral
UUAAGCCAUGCGAGUCGAACGAAACUUUCUUACACCGAAUGCUUGCAUUCACCGUAAGAAGUUGAGUGGCGGACGGGUGAGUAACACGUGGGUAACCUGCCUAAAAGAAGGGGAUAACACUUGGAAACAGAUGCUAAUACCGUAUAUCUCUAAGGAUCGCAUGAUCCUUAGAUGAAAGAUGGUUCUGCUAUCGCUUUUAGAUGGACCCGCGGCGUAUUAACUAGUUGGUGGGGUAACGGCCUACCAAGGUGAUGAUACGUAGCCGAACUGAGAGGUUGAUCGGCCACAUUGGGACUGAGACACGGCCCAAACUCCUACGGGAGGCAGCAGUAGGGAAUCUUCCACAAUGGACGCAAGUCUGAUGGAGCAACGCCGCGUGAGUGAAGAAGGUCUUCGGAUCGUAAAACUCUGUUGUUAGAGAAGAACACGAGUGAGAGUAACUGUUCAUUCGAUGACGGUAUCUAACCAGCAAGUCACGGCUAACUACGUGUCAGCCGCCGCGGUAA